GUUUAUAUAGUUUAAUAAAACACUACAUUUUCAGUGUAGAGUUAGAAACCUUUUCUUAUAAAUA
Molecule: transfer RNA, 64 nt
Filed under: Myodermum sp. MYO01
Lineage: Eukaryota; Metazoa; Arthropoda; Insecta; Coleoptera; Scarabaeidae
Description: tRNA-Glu
Rfam family: tRNA
About the family: Transfer RNA (tRNA) molecules are approximately 80 nucleotides in length. Their secondary structure includes four short double-helical elements and three loops (D, anti-codon, and T loops). Further hydrogen bonds mediate the characteristic L-shaped molecular structure. tRNAs have two regions of fundamental functional importance: the anti-codon, which is responsible for specific mRNA codon recognition, and the 3' end, to which the tRNAs corresponding amino acid is attached (by aminoacyl-tRNA synthetases). tRNAs cope with the degeneracy of the genetic code in two manners: having more than one tRNA (with a specific anti-codon) for a particular amino acid; and 'wobble' base-pairing, i.e. permitting non-standard base-pairing at the 3rd anti-codon position.
Source: RNAcentral